UACGUAGGGACCGAGCGUUGUCCGGAAUCAUUGGGCGUAAAGAGCGUGUAGGCGGCCACUUAAGUCCUGCGUGAAAUCCCGGGGCUCAACCCCGGGCGUGCAGUGGAUACGGGCUGGCUAGAGGCAGGCAGGGGAGAACGGAAUUCCCGGUGUAGCGGUGAAAUGCGCAGAUAUCGGGAGGAACACCAGUGGCGAAGGCGGCUCACUGGACCGGUACUGACGCUGAUGCGCGAAAGCGUGGGGAGCAAACAGG
RNAcentral lists this ribosomal RNA (253 nucleotides) under uncultured bacterium. Its description in RNAcentral is "partial 16S ribosomal RNA". It matches the Rfam family "Bacterial small subunit ribosomal RNA", at positions 524 to 776 of the family's 1533-position model. The record is from RNAcentral.